RNAcentral lists this small nuclear RNA (107 nucleotides) under Aotus nancymaae (Ma's night monkey). The record is from RNAcentral. Lineage: Eukaryota; Metazoa; Chordata; Mammalia; Primates; Aotidae.
GUGCUCACUUCGGAAGCACAUAUACUAAAAUUGGAACGAUACAGAGAAGAUUAGCAUGGCCCCUGCAUAAGGAUGCCACGCAAAUUUGUGAAGCAUUCCAUAUUUUU